CAGGAUGUCUGAGUGCCCAAUGUGAUGUGAACAUCAAGCUUGCUGCAAGGAUGUAAGGUCCACCUGACAAACAUGUGUAAAACCACUCAAGGGCAAGGAAAAAAUGCACUGAAAUAUAUCAAAAAAAUAAGCACAACAAAUGCGCUGAUGCUCAUUCGCCAGCACGCUCACAUGGGCAUAUUCUUUCCAGCGGAACUGUCAGAAUUUGCACUUCAGUUCUAUAAUUGAAAUCCCAAAGUCUGCCAGUUCAUAAUCACCUCUACACACUCACACAUACACAUAGUCUCUUGUCUUGGCAUAUCGAUGAGUGGAACAGCUGCUAAAAUGACAGCACAGAAACCUUUUGGCGAGCUCCUCGGGCUAUCCGCACGAAGGCACGUGGAUACCUGCUUGUGGAGGGAGAGGAAGAGAGCCGGGGGAAGCAGCAGGGGAGAGACAGAGGAGACACAGACGGUGAAAAAGAUGAAGAUAAGGGAGGAGAGACAGAAAGGCAAAGCAUGUAAGACAGAGAGGGAGAAACAGAGUCAGCGGUGAAAAAGACAGAGAGCGCUGCUGUUGAGCAAGUGUGCUGCAUCAUUCAAACACCUGCUGUUUCUGCUGCAGUUAAAUGAACACAUUACAUCCAGUGCAAAACUCUCUCUCACACACACACACGUGCACAGAGCUUCAAAUCAUAACAGGUAGCAUUAAUGUUGAGUCCCUUUCUGGAGAAGAUCCUGCAAGAUGACACCAGAUUACUACCCUAAACUCACUCCUGUAGGGAGAGUUGUAGCUCUAUCUAUGGUGAGCAAUGCUGCAUUUAGCAGUCAUGUUGAAGAACAUGACUUUAAAAGUCGCUUUAAAACUUGGUUUUGACAAACGUGUUGAUUUCUACAUGAUAGGUGUGCUAAUGUGCUUCCAUUAGUUCAUGCCUCAGGGGAUUUAAUUUCUAAUUCGACCCUGAUCUAAAAUCAUAGAUUUUAUUUUGCACUAAUGCUGCAUGAAGAGGUAAUUUAUGCAAAUUUGGUAAUGCCCCUAAGUAAUUGAACCCUAAGUGGGUUAAUUAAUCUAUAACUUAACAGAUUUAGUGAAAAAACAUUUGUCCCAUCCAUUUUUUUAAGAAAUCUAUUGUUUAAAGCAUCAGAUAUACAAUUCACUAGCAUUUAAGACCAACCGAGGGUGUUUGGUUGAUAUACACUCAUCAGUCACUUCAUUAGGUACACCUGUUCAGCUGCUCAUUAAUGCAAACAUCUAAUCAUCCAAUCAAAUGGAAGAAAUCCUGUUCAUUUAAGCAGGUAAACAUGAUUGAGACAACUUGGCGAAGUUCAAACUAAGUAUAAGAAUGGCAACAAUAAAAGGUGAUUUAGGUGACUUUGAGCAUGGCGUAGCUGUUUGGCUUUUCCCACACAACCAUCUCCAGGGUUUACAGAGAAUGGUCAAAAAAAAGAAAAGACAGAAAAAUAACUUUUUCAAGGGUGAGAGGAGAUUGGCCAGACUGCUCUGAGCUGAUAACAAGGCAACAGUGGCUCAAAUCACUGGUUACUCAAAAAAAACAUGAAAUCGCUGACUGGAACAGCUGGAAGAAAAAAGCUUCUUCUUUUUUCCUUUUUUUUUUAGUCCGCCCCACUAAAAGAACUGUUUUAGUGGACUGAAGAACCGUUGUAUGAGGUAUGUAUGGACAUAUUGUAAAUGUAAUGUAAUUAAUGAACUUAGUACAGUAACAUGUUACAUUACUGUAUUAAUGAAAAAUGUAGUGUGACAACAGUGGUAUGCAGAAGAGCAUCUCUGAACGCACAACACUUCAAAUCUGUAAGCAGAUGGGCUGCAGCAGAAGACCACACCAGGUGCCACUUCUGCCAUCUAAGAACAUGAAACUGAGGCUUCAGUUUGCAUGAGCUCACUAAAAAUUUCUUGGUCUGAUUGUCUUGAUUUCUCUUGCAAAAUUUGAAUGGUAGCAUCAGAGUUUGGCGUAAACAACAUGAAAGCAUUCAUCCAUCCUGCCUUGUGUCCGUGGAUCACGCUGGUGGUGCUGGUGUGAUGUGGGAUAUUUUCUUUGUAUUGUUGAAAUACCAAAGUCUACCUGUGUUGUUGCUGACCAUAUCAUGGUCAUCAAACCUCUGAGCAAUGUUUCCAGCACCUCGAUGAAUCGACAUCACGAAGAAUUAAGUCAGCUAUGAAAGCAAAAGGGGGGGUCCAUCUUUGUAUAGCAAGGUGUACAUAAUGAAGUGACCAGCGAGUGUAAAUCUUAUUACAUCAUUUGCACACAUUUAGGCCAUCACUCUCAAACGUCUUUAUUAUAGUUGUCCUGCUUACCCAAAUACACACAAGCGUUUCUUUUGAGGUGGCCUAUUUCACACAGCCAAUCCCGUUAAUUGGCCGCAUAGUUCUUUUCAUCCUUAUCUUCUUCCCUUAGAGAAUAGUGUCUCAGCACAAGUAAACUACUGAGUUGUAUCCUAAUGUUAAAGGAAGACUUUAGGAGGAACAUCUUACUCAUUUUCUAACAAAGAGUCAGGUGAGGCCAUGUCUGUGCGUUAAACAGAAGCCAGCAGACUAUAUCAAGACUGAGAACGGGUGGAAACACUAAGAAGUUGCCAGGAUAUUUUCCACCCACACCUUACGCAAAUGAUAAUGACUAUGCAACAGGCUAGCCAUUUCCCCCUGUUUCCAGUCUUUACAGUAAAUUCAACUAACUGGCUGCUGGCUGUCGCUUUAUAUUUAGUGUAUGCACGUGUGAGUCGUACUGUGAAGGUAAAUAAGCAUAAACAUUUCCUGGAGAAAAUAACAGAUGUGUGAGAAUUCAUAUUUUAAAACAUGCUCAAUCUUUCCUUUUUCAAGCGUUAAAGCUUGGAAUAAACAGCACAUAUGUGAUAACCUAGACAAUACUGGACCUGAAGGUACCACCUACACCAACACUGGGUCAGUGAGUCAUUACAGCCUUGCCUAUAUCAUCUUGUAAGAGUUUUUCAUAUUAAAUGACUCUAGAUUUGCAGUUUCUUCUUUUUGCAACGAUAGUUUAUCGCUGUGAAAGCUGCAACUAUACUGUAUAGAAUGAAUCUGCCUGUUUGCCAGUGUGUGGUCACUUUGACAUCCCUGCUUUAUUUGCAUAUCCUCAACCGUGCAUCUAGAAUUUGAUUUCUUAUGGGUUUUGUUUUUUACCUACCACAAGAGGAGAUUGGCCCAUUUUCAAUCCUGACCAUUUAUUAUGUAAAAUAGCCCUUAAAAAACACUAAAUGCAUUAGUUUAACUUAAACAUUUGCGCUACCAAUACUGAAAUAUCCAGCACUCCUUAGGAUUUGGCUACAGUACUCAUAAUCUUGAACUGUGUAUGUCUGCUGGCCCAUUAAUCAAAUCCCAGAGCAGUUUUCAAAAAAGAUUUCUCACCAUCUCCCCAUAAAACAACAGCAUAGCCUUCCUGUAAUGAAAGCCAAGCAUCAUUUAAAGACUUCUGAACCAUUCUGCGGACCUGUUUGAUUUCCCCCACGGGAGGCCUAACAGGUUCUGGACUCAGAUCUCAUCCCAGCGUGAGGUGCACUCUUGAAGAAUCCAUUUAUAAUUCGAUUCUGUCCCAAUUAAUUCAUCAGUUUCUCUCCACUCUAAAUGGAAUUAGGUCAAAGCCACUCAUAUGACCAAGCCCCCGCUACGAUUAAAAACCCUGCUUUAUAUAGGUUAUCCAGUUCUGAUUCAUCUAACAGUGUUCUCCCUGCAACAUUGUGUGUUCGACACUUUUUGCCUUGAAUUCAAGCAGAUAAUGGGUUAAAAUUGAGGCCUGGGGCCCCCCAGUCAUUAAGCCGCACUAGAUUAUAGCUAGCUCAACUCUACGUCUGAGUAUAUUCCAACGGGGUCCAAUAAACUGCCGUACAGCUUUCUGUCAAUCCUUUUGCCUGCUUUUUGCUUCUUUUUUUUUAGUUCAUCCUUGCAGCUCUUAGCACUUGGCAGACAUCUGAUAUUCCCAAACAGGGAGCAAACUGCAUGAAUAUUUUUAAAACCAGAAAGGGGGCAUUUAUGACUUAAAAAAAACCAGCUACACUGGUUCAAGAUGUAACUACAUGCAAACGUCUCAGGAGGGGCACUAAAAAAAACACAGAUCAGGGCAACGUGUGAACGUCUCGUGACUGAGCUGAGGCCCCGAGGUUAUUAAAAGUUUCCUGUCUCAUUUACACUCGCGCCCUCUGAGGAUUAUCAAGUUUAAGAGGUGAAAAGACAUCCUUUGUCUGCACGCUCCUGAAGCAGCACUACACACCUGAGCUUAAGCUGUUCUUAACCAGUUUGGCUUAUGCUGUUCUUAACCAGUUUGGCUACCGCUCUUUGGCUUUCCAAUCGGAGCCCCUGUCACACUCUGAAGGCUCAAAAAUCUGCUUUU
Long non-coding RNA from Oreochromis niloticus (Nile tilapia), 4339 nucleotides. RefSeq lists it as uncharacterized. The transcript is spliced from 2 exons. The record is from RefSeq and is a predicted model, not a curated record. NCBI's taxonomy places the organism in Eukaryota, Metazoa, Chordata, Actinopteri, Cichliformes, Cichlidae.